UCCACUUGAGUAGAUCUCUAUAAAUGCUCUCAUGCUACCUUUAUUUGCUUUAGUAUAUGUCUAGGUUUGGAGUAGUUUCAUUUAUCUCUUAAAUAAGCAUGGUGCUUAGUUUAGGAAUGAUGAUCUUACUUCCAAGGGAUUUUAAAUUAAGAAUGGUUCUUAGGUUAAAAUGCCCUCCUAAAUCAAAUUAGACAUGGUGCCUAGGUUGAUUUUUGAGCCGAUAGUAUGCUAUAGUAGAUAUUGGAUAUUUUGUUGGACUAACCCCUGC
RNAcentral lists this long non-coding RNA (268 nucleotides) under Sorghum bicolor (sorghum). RNAcentral describes it as "long non-coding RNA (SBIC_LNC012918)". The record is from RNAcentral. Lineage: Eukaryota; Viridiplantae; Streptophyta; Magnoliopsida; Poales; Poaceae.